Molecule: ribosomal RNA, 460 nt
Filed under: uncultured bacterium
Lineage: Bacteria
Description: partial 16S ribosomal RNA
Rfam family: Bacterial small subunit ribosomal RNA
Source: RNAcentral
CCUACGUGCGGCAGCAGUGAGGAAUAUUGGUCAAUGGACGAGAGUCUGAACCAGCCAAGUAGCGUGAAGGAUGACUGCACUCUGGGUUGUAAACUUCUUUUAUAUGGGAAUAAAAUGUUCCAUGUGUGGGAUUUAGUAUGUACCUUAUGAAUAAGGAGCGGCUAACUCCGUGCCAGCAGCCGCGGUAAUACGGAGGAUCCGAGCGUUUUCCGGAAUUAUUGGGUUUACAGGGAGCGUAGGUGGAUUGUUAAGUCAGUUGUGAAAGUUUGCGGCUCAACCGUAAAAUUGCAGUUGAAACUGGCAGUCUUGAGUACAGUAGAGGUGGGCGGAAUUCGUGGUGUAGCGGUGAAAUGCUUAGAUAUCACGAAGAACUCCGGUUGCGAAGGCAGCUCCCUGGACUGCAACUGACACUGAGGCUCGAAAGUGUGGGUAUCAAACAGGAUUAGAUACCCCUGUAGUC